UACGUAGGGUGCAAGCGUUAAUCGGAAUUACUGGGCGUAAAGCGUGCGCAGGCGGUUCUAUAAGACAGAUGUGAAAUCCCCGGGCUCAACCUGGGAACUGCAUUUGUGACUGUAGAGCUGGAGUACGGCAGAGGGGGAUGGAAUUCCACGUGUAGCGGUGAAAUGCGUAGAGAUGUGGAGGAACACCGAUGGCGAAGGCAGCCUUCUGGGCCAACACUGACGCUCAUGCACGAAAGCGUGGGGAGCAAACAGG
This 253-nucleotide ribosomal RNA is filed under the name uncultured bacterium. RNAcentral's name for it is "partial 16S ribosomal RNA". It matches the Rfam family "Bacterial small subunit ribosomal RNA", at positions 524 to 776 of the family's 1533-position model. The record is from RNAcentral.